RNAcentral lists this ribosomal RNA (238 nucleotides) under uncultured bacterium. RNAcentral describes it as "partial 16S ribosomal RNA". It matches the Rfam family "Bacterial small subunit ribosomal RNA", at positions 125 to 353 of the family's 1533-position model. The record is from RNAcentral.
CCUGCCCAGAUCACGGGGAUAACGGUUGGAAACGACAGCUAAGACCGGAUAGGUGGUGACGAGGCAUCUUGUCAUCAUGAAAAGAGCUGAAAGGCUCUGGAGCUGGAUGGACCUGCGGCGCAUUAGCUAGUUGGUGAGGGUAACGGCCCACCAAGGCGAUGAUGCGUAGCCGACCUGAGAGGGUGAUCGGCCACAUUGGGACUGAGACACGGCCCAGACUCCUACGGGAGGCAGCAUG